ACCAUCUAAUGUGAUGUAUAAUCUAAAUAUUUUCUUGAUAGCAAACUUAAACUGAAAGCAUCCAUCACAUCCCUACAACUUAUCUAAAACUUAACCGAGGAACAUCAUCCAACAUGAACAUCAUCCCUACAACUUAAUUAAAACUGAAAGCAUCCACCGUCAUCAUCAUCAUCAUGAAUAGGAACAUCAUUAUCAUCAUUGCAGUAUACUUGCCACACACCCAUAUAAUCCUCCAUUUAUCUUUUGCAUCUAUAAACAAAAAAAACUGUUAACACACAAUGCAUUGACAUGAUGCAAAUAGUGAUAGAGGCAGGAUAUUGGUCAUUGUAUCGGCUAGUAUAUCCCUAUAUGCAAACUCCAGAAAUUUAUCUACACCAGCUGAGUACUGUCUACUUUCUCUAGUAAAUCACUAUGAAGAAACUGACCUUGUCAGAUAAAAAAUGAAGUAGUAUUGGUAAUUGUCAAGUCCAUCCUCUCAUCUGCUUGCAUGCCACAUACCUACACUGGUACACAUGAUAAUUAGCUAAAUAUUUUUUUCUUUGAUAUUGAAAACAAACCGUGAUAAUUUGUGUGCUACAAAUACAAUAGAACACCGUAUUUUGCGGGCGACGAACAACUCUGGACCCAGAAAAGGAUGGUUGCAAAUCAAUAGUGUGUAUACUGUUCUAGGAAAAUCUUAUUGGGCAAACCAAACUAAUUUAUAUUGAGAUUGCUAAAAGAGUAACUAAUUUAUAGUGGAAUGGCUAAAACAGUACCUUAAUCUUAUAGGGACAACUU
This 777-nucleotide long non-coding RNA is filed under the name Triticum aestivum (bread wheat). Its description in RNAcentral is "long non-coding RNA (TAES_LNC012462)". The record is from RNAcentral. Lineage: Eukaryota; Viridiplantae; Streptophyta; Magnoliopsida; Poales; Poaceae.